UUUAUGGGCAGUCAUCAGUCCCCCGGCUAACAGCUGCAAUAUCCAUAUCUUCUUAUUUGUGGAUUUCGAAAACAGACAGGCUUUUCCCACAGUGUGAGUGUGGGAUUUUCUGCCCUUUCUUCUCCUUCAAGCCUACCCUUUCCCGUUCUCUUUUCACUCUCAAGGGGGUAACACAAGCAUUAACGAUGAUGAAAGGGACUCCUAACAUCCAUGGGAAAUAUGUGAAAGUCAAGUGAAGUUAUCAUUUCCCCUCAACUCAAAGGAACACCUAAAAGUAUUAGAAGAUUUUACAGUAUUCCACAUUCAAGACAGACUGAACUCAUUGAUGGCAAAAUUGGAGCAUCAGCCAUCAAGCCUUGACCAUGGGUCAGUUCAAAUUUCAGAAAAGAGAUCAUUUUCGGAUUUCUGUCAAAAGCACAGGUUUUGAACUGGAUGACACCUUCUGCCCCACUCAUGAUUUUUCCAGGAGGUAAUAAAGAGCUUAUUGGUAGUUUCAUCAGAAGAUCCAACUUGAAGAACCCUCUACGUUUUUUUCUUCUUGCAGUGAUUGGGAUAUCAAGGUUAGCCCAGAAUUUUGCAUGAAUAAAAAGAAAAUCUUCUUGUA
Felis catus (domestic cat) is the source of this 604-nucleotide long non-coding RNA. RefSeq lists it as uncharacterized. The transcript has 3 exons. Lineage: Eukaryota; Metazoa; Chordata; Mammalia; Carnivora; Felidae. The record is from RefSeq and is a predicted model, not a curated record.